RNAcentral lists this transfer RNA (74 nucleotides) under Bacteroidota bacterium. RNAcentral's name for it is "Bacteroidetes bacterium (activated sludge metagenome) tRNA-Pro". It matches the Rfam family "tRNA". Rfam says of the family: Transfer RNA (tRNA) molecules are approximately 80 nucleotides in length. Their secondary structure includes four short double-helical elements and three loops (D, anti-codon, and T loops). The record is from RNAcentral. Lineage: Bacteria; Pseudomonadati; Bacteroidota.
CUGGGUGUAGCGCAGUCUGGUAGCGCACUUGCAUGGGGUGCAAGAGGUCGCUGGUUCAAGUCCAGUCACCCAGA